RNAcentral lists this long non-coding RNA (592 nucleotides) under Sorghum bicolor (sorghum). Its description in RNAcentral is "long non-coding RNA (SBIC_LNC014884)". The record is from RNAcentral. Lineage: Eukaryota; Viridiplantae; Streptophyta; Magnoliopsida; Poales; Poaceae.
AACAGUGUGACAAUAGAGGUUGAAUGGAUUGGCAACAUUAUGCAUUGAGAAGCGAUUGUUCGAUGAGAUUGAUAUUGAAACCAUCAUCGAUGACUUUGCAUCAAUGAAUGUUAGAAGAAAAUUUUAAGGUAAUUUAAUAUGUGUAUACAAAUUAUUUUAUAUGAAUAUUGCUUUUGCAUUCACUUAACUGCUUAUUAGUAACAUGUUUUAUAUGUGUGUAUAUAGUACUAGUAGUAUUAUCAAGUUCAUAUAAUAGGGUCCAAAAUUUUAGGUUUGUUCCAGGUCCAAAAAUACUUAGGACCGGCUCUGACACAGCUAUGCCACAAGACGGAAGGAAAUGAAGGAGAUGAUGCUAUAUACAGUUGUGAAGCUUCUCAGAAAAUACUGUUCAUGAACCACCGUGGCCGGCAACCUCUAGCAUGGUCUCCUAAUGCCAUUGUGCCGGUCCCUCUACAAAUCCAACAAAAUCGGCGAGUACAGUGGGAGCUCGAAGCUUGAACAGUAUAGACAUGUAGAAACUGUGCAAUAGAUGUUCUGUUUCAGUUCCCAGUGCCUCCUAUUUCUAUUUUUGUAUCCAUAACGUACUUCCCAC